UUUGAGAUGGCCUCUCGCCCUAUUCAGUGUAACAGCUGUGGUAGUGGGUUUGGUCGCUCGCAUUUAAAUUGGAAGGGUAAUGGUGGACCGCACUUCUCCCUUAGUAGGACGUUGCGACCUGUCAAAUAAUAUCCUAAGUAUUUGGCUAAUUUGUCUGUUUUUAGGCAGUACUGAAAGGUAUUUCCUUUAACAGUUUUAGCCGUUUAGAUACUGGAUAUAAUUGACAGUAACGAAUCAUGGUGUUGAGCCACUUACUUUGUAAGUGUCCUUUAUGGCUGUUUGCAAGUGGGUUGGUUAAUUAGUUUUAGUCGGAUUUCGGUCCGUCUAACUAUUCCGCCUACUGUUGGUAAACUGUUCCUUGGACAGUGCUUAUAACACCGGUCGGCAGCGAUUCAGGUUCAGGCUCUUAUCCGACCCGUCUUGAAACACGGACCAAGGAGUUUAGCGUGUACGCAAGUCAUUGGGUGUAUAAAACCCAAAGGC
This 483-nucleotide ribosomal RNA is filed under the name Triatoma infestans. RNAcentral's name for it is "eukaryotic LSU rRNA". The record is from RNAcentral. Lineage: Eukaryota; Metazoa; Arthropoda; Insecta; Hemiptera; Reduviidae.